ACAUGUGCUCCACAACUUCGGACCGCAUGAAGUCGCCAAGAUGAGGACAUACAAGUAAGUCCUAUUUCUCUCACUGACGUCUUCUCUCAUAAAGAGAUAUAACAGGGCUGUCUGAAGUUUGUUUAAGGCGGAAAGCAUGCGAGCACAGGACAGCACGUGUGUUGACCCGUUGGGAGUAAAUCUUUACGUGUGCCCGUCUGACCACUUCUAUUGGGUGCCAGAUCAGUUGAGCAAAGGUUCUCAAGAUGAAGAUCAGACAUUUUAUAGGAACUAUGAAGGAGAGAUGCGCAAAAAAGUUGUGGAAGAGUCACGUCUCCAAUGUGAACGCAGUUGUUUUAAUAGGAAACGGAUAUUAGGCCUAAUGAUGACUUUAGCGGGCUGAAGAGAAACGUGACCAUUAACCACAGAGCAGAUGAAAACUGAUACCAAUGUUCUCAAAAGAUGAGGUGAAACAUGCAAACUUCACACAGAUAUGCCAACUGACCCAGGCGGGGCUCAAACCAGCGACCUUCUUGCUUUGAGGCUCAUUUUGGAGUUUCUUGCAACCUUGAUGUUUCGGAGGUGCUGCGUUGUUCUUUGAUGUGAGGAAGGAAGGUUGAGAAAGAGAAAGCUGUCCAGCACAAGCCACCCUCAUUAGUGUCCAGCGCCCGAAGACACAGGUCACAAAACCCAAUGAACUGGCCAUUUGAUUCAGCUCUGCAGACACUCAGCCCUAAUGCUGCGGUCCGCUCUGACAGCACAUCAUACGCAACACUCAAAGCAGCUUGAAUAACCCUUGGAC
This 781-nucleotide long non-coding RNA is filed under the name Danio rerio (zebrafish). Its description in RNAcentral is "lncRNA si:ch211-202e12.3 (ENSDARG00000095715.4)". The record is from RNAcentral. Lineage: Eukaryota; Metazoa; Chordata; Actinopteri; Cypriniformes; Danionidae.